UAAAAAUCGGGUAUUUAAUCGACGAAUUUGGGCGAAAUAAAAGCUAGAAGUUAAAAUGGUUAAAAAUGGCAAUUCAAAGGACUAAAGGAGACUUUUCCCAUUAAAACUUGAAUCAAAUUGAUUUGAUUCUCAGAUCAGCAAUAGAAAAAAAAAAGGACUCAGCCCUCAACUUCAUCUCCAUCCUUAGAAAGCUUAAACAUGCAAGAACUUAGAAUUGCCAUAUCUUGCUCGAUUUUGGUCCGAAUUGGACGAUUCUUGCGGCCACGGAACGGGGAAGGAAAGCUCUAUGCAUCUAUCCCAUAGACUCAAGACAUAUCGACGAGUACGGACUUGACGGUGUUGGCUUAGUGGGGUUCGGCCAUUAUUUUGAUAUCAUGAUUUGGAUAGCAAAUUCGACAUAUCGACGAGUACGGACUUGACGGUGUUGGCUUAGUGGGGUUCGGCCAUUAUUUUGAUAUCAUGAUUUGGAUAGCAAAUUCGUGUUUUCUUUCAGGUUUAUUAUGCGGUGACGUGGUCGAGCUUCCAUCCACUGUUCUGGAAGUCUCAGUUAUGAGAGUUCCUACCCUUCUUAGAGCUGCAGUAGUUAUGUUAGUAGAUUAAUUCGAUAGUUGACAGUUUAUGUUUUUCAUGUGCUGUGGCAUAAAGAUGUAUUUUUGGAAAACGGUUUAUCCACACAUUUUGUAUAUGAUUACAUGAUAUUUUGCACAAGGUGGUUUGUGUUUUUAACAGGUGCCAGUAGCACAGUUUUCAAACGUUAUAUUGCCGAUUUUUUUUAAAAUUUAAGAUUGUUGUUUUGCAAAAAGUUUAUAGUGAAUUUCAGGCUUACUACGGGAUUUGGAACUACAAUUCUCAUUCCCUAGCGCCGGUCGCGGCCCUCGAUUUUGGGUCGUGACAAUAAUAAACUUUAGCAUUAGAAUUGGCUGAUGCUGAAUGGCGUCACUUGUACCCUGAA
Mercurialis annua (annual mercury) is the source of this 952-nucleotide long non-coding RNA. RefSeq lists it as uncharacterized. Lineage: Eukaryota; Viridiplantae; Streptophyta; Magnoliopsida; Malpighiales; Euphorbiaceae. The transcript is spliced from 4 exons. The record is from RefSeq and is a predicted model, not a curated record.